This 25-nucleotide non-coding RNA is filed under the name Mus musculus (house mouse). The record is from RNAcentral. Lineage: Eukaryota; Metazoa; Chordata; Mammalia; Rodentia; Muridae.
UGAGGGCUCAAAUUCCGCCUGAACC